This is a long non-coding RNA of Lagopus muta (rock ptarmigan), 227 nucleotides long. RefSeq lists it as uncharacterized. The record is from RefSeq and is a predicted model, not a curated record. NCBI's taxonomy places the organism in Eukaryota, Metazoa, Chordata, Aves, Galliformes, Phasianidae. The transcript is spliced from 3 exons.
CCAAAUCUGCUUGCUUUAGUAGUGUGGCACUUGCUUUCUGUGCCUUGCGGAAGCCCUCUGUUGUGCUGUGUGUCUGUCUUCUAUAUCAACUGAGGAAAGCUUGUCUCUGAUAAAAGUCCCUGGUUUGAUGAUCUCAAUGAGAUCCUCCUAUCCGUCUUAAGGCAACAUCUGCCUGCUCAAUGCCUGCCAUUUCAGUGACUUCCAAGCUUGCCUGUGCUAUUGAAGUG